Molecule: ribosomal RNA, 468 nt
Filed under: uncultured bacterium
Lineage: Bacteria
Description: partial 16S ribosomal RNA
Rfam family: Bacterial small subunit ribosomal RNA
Source: RNAcentral
GACGAACGCUGGCGGCGUGCUUAACACAUGCAAGUCGAACGGAAAGGCCCUGCUGUUGUGGGGUGCUCGAGUGGCGAACGGGUGAGUAACACGUGAGUAACCUGCCCUUGACUUUGGGAUAACUUCAGGAAACUGGGGCUAAUACCGGAUAGGAGCCCCUGCUGCAUGGUGGGGGUUGGAAAGUUUCGGCGGUUGGGGAUGGACUCGCGGCUUAUCAGCUUGUUGGUGGGGUAGUGGCUUACCAAGGCUUUGACGGGUAGCCGGCCUGAGAGGGUGACCGGCCACAUUGGGACUGAGAUACGGCCCAGACUCCUACGGGAGGCAGCAGUGGGGAAUAUUGCACAAUGGGCGGAAGCCUGAUGCAGCAACGCCGCGUGCGGGAUGACGGCCUUCGGGUUGUAAACCGCUUUCGCCUGUGACGAAGCGUGAGUGACGGUAAUGGGUAAAGAAGCACCGGCUAACUACGUG